GUGCUCAUUUUGGCAGCACAUAUACUAAAGAUGCAAUGAUACAGAGAAGAUUGGCGUGGCCCCUAGGCAAGGAUGACAUGCGAAGUGGUGAAGUGUUCCUUAUUUAU
Molecule: small nuclear RNA, 107 nt
Organism: Pongo abelii (Sumatran orangutan)
Lineage: Eukaryota; Metazoa; Chordata; Mammalia; Primates; Hominidae
Source: Ensembl